UACGGAGGGUGCAAACGUUGCUCGGAAUUAUUGGGCGUAAAGCGCACGUAGGCGGACAUUCAAGUCUAAUGUGAAAUCCCUCGGCUUAACCGAGGACGUGCAUCGGAAACUGAAUGUCUUGAGUAUGGUAGAGGAUUGCGGAAUUCCCGGUGUAGAGGUGAAAUUCGUAGAUAUCGGGAGGAACAUCAGUGGCGAAGGCGGCAAUCUGGGCCAAUACUGACGCUGAGGUGCGAAAGCGUGGGGAGCAAACAGG
RNAcentral lists this ribosomal RNA (253 nucleotides) under uncultured bacterium. Its description in RNAcentral is "partial 16S ribosomal RNA". It matches the Rfam family "Bacterial small subunit ribosomal RNA", at positions 524 to 776 of the family's 1533-position model. The record is from RNAcentral.